UACGUAGGGUGCAAGCGUUGUCCGGAAUUAUUGGGCGUAAAGAGCUCGUAGGCGGUUUGUCGCGUCUGCCGUGAAAGUCCGGGGCUCAACUCCGGAUCUGCGGUGGGUACGGGCAGACUAGAGUGAUGUAGGGGAGACUGGAAUUCCUGGUGUAGCGGUGAAAUGCGCAGAUAUCAGGAGGAACACCGAUGGCGAAGGCAGGUCUCUGGGCAUUAACUGACGCUGAGGCACGAAAGCGUGGGGAGCAAACAGG
RNAcentral lists this ribosomal RNA (253 nucleotides) under uncultured bacterium. RNAcentral's name for it is "partial 16S ribosomal RNA". It matches the Rfam family "Bacterial small subunit ribosomal RNA", at positions 524 to 776 of the family's 1533-position model. The record is from RNAcentral.